This 85-nucleotide transfer RNA is filed under the name Anoxybacter fermentans. RNAcentral's name for it is "tRNA-Leu". It matches the Rfam family "tRNA". Rfam says of the family: Transfer RNA (tRNA) molecules are approximately 80 nucleotides in length. The record is from RNAcentral. Lineage: Bacteria; Bacillati; Bacillota; Clostridia; Halanaerobiales.
GCGAAGAUGGCGGAACUGGCAGACGCGCUAGACUUAGGAUCUAGUGCCUUCGGGCGUGGGGGUUCGAAUCCCCCUCUUCGCACCA